This 425-nucleotide ribosomal RNA is filed under the name uncultured bacterium. Its description in RNAcentral is "partial 16S ribosomal RNA". It matches the Rfam family "Bacterial small subunit ribosomal RNA", at positions 354 to 796 of the family's 1533-position model. The record is from RNAcentral.
GUUAGGAAUAUUGGACAAUGGGCGAAAGCCUGAUCCAGCCAUGCCGCGUGAACGAUGAAGGCCUUCGGGUUGUAAAGUUCUUUAGCCGAUGAUUAUAAUGACUGUAGUCGGAAAAUAAGCCCCGGCUAACUUCGUGCCAGCAGCCGCGGUAAUACGAAGGGGGCGAGCGUUAUUCGGAAUCACUGGGCGUAAAGCGUGCGUAGGCGGUUUUGUAAGUUAGGAGUGAAAGCCCAGGGCUCAACCUUGGAAUUGCUUGUAAAACUGCAAGGCUCGAAUGUUGGAGAGGAUAGCGGAAUUUCCAGUGUAGCAGUGAAAUGCGUAGAUAUUGGAAGGAACACCAGUGGCGUAAGCGGCUAUCUGGACGAGUAUUGACGCUGAGGCACGAAAGCGUGGGGAUCAAACAGGAUUAGAAACCCGGGUAGUCC